UGUUUCGGCUAGGGGGCCAUCCCGGCUUACCAACCCGAUGCAAACUGCGAAUACCGGAGAAUGUUAUCACGGGAGACACACGGCGGGUGCUAACGUCCGUCGUGAAGAGGGAAACAACCCAGACCGCCAGCUAAGGUCCCAAAGUCAUGGUUAAGUGGGAAACGAUGUGGGAAGGCCCAGACAGCCAGGAUGUUGGCUUAGAAGCAGCCAUCAUUUAAAGAAAGCGUAAUAGCUCACUGGUCGAGUCGGCCUGCGCGGAAGAUGUAACGGGGCUAAACCAUGCACCGAAGCUGCGGCAGCGACGCUGAUGCGUUGUUGGGUAGGGGAGCGUUCUGUAAGCCUGCGAAGGUGGCCUGUGAGGGUUGCUGGAGGUAUCAGAAGUGCG
RNAcentral lists this ribosomal RNA (385 nucleotides) under Salmonella enterica subsp. enterica serovar Montevideo. RNAcentral's name for it is "partial 23S ribosomal RNA". It matches the Rfam family "Bacterial large subunit ribosomal RNA", at positions 911 to 1292 of the family's 2925-position model. The record is from RNAcentral. Lineage: Bacteria; Pseudomonadati; Pseudomonadota; Gammaproteobacteria; Enterobacterales; Enterobacteriaceae.